ACAGGGUGACGAGGUGGUGCAUGGUUGUCGUCAGCUCGUGUCGUGAGAUGUUGGGGUUAAAGUCCCGGCAACGAGCGCAACCCUCGCCUCUAGUUGCCAGCAUUCGGUUGGGCACUCUAGAGGGACUGCCGGCGACAAGUCGGAGGAAGUGGGAUGACGUCAAUCAUCAUGCCCCUUAUGACCUGGGCUACACACGUGCUACAGUGGGCGGUACAAAGGGCUGCGAACCCGCGAGGGGGAGCGAAUCCCAAAAAGCCGCUCUCAGUUCGGAUUGCAGGCUGCAACUCGCCUGCAUGAAGCCGGAAUCGCUAGUAAUCGCGGAUCAGCAUGCCGCGGUGAAUACGUUCCCGGGCCUU
Molecule: ribosomal RNA, 356 nt
Filed under: uncultured Geobacillus sp.
Lineage: Bacteria; Bacillati; Bacillota; Bacilli; Caryophanales; Anoxybacillaceae
Description: bacterial SSU rRNA
Rfam family: Bacterial small subunit ribosomal RNA
Source: RNAcentral